GGUUCAGUGUCGUGGCAUCGUGGCUUCUCUUGGAACCAUGACCAGGCAAUUUCUUGCUCUGCCCUGAAGGCCUCAACUGAUGGAUCAGGACUAUCAUCUUUUAGCUCUUGCAUGUGGAGAGGAGGUUAGCUGCCGCACUGUACAUGUAGCCAAGGAUGAAUUGCCAGCGUUUUGUUGAGCUCAGUAGGAGUGAUCCAUCGCGCUGGCAAGUCAUUACUGGCUACGUGUUUGCCUCGUUUCCUCAUGCUGGAGCGAAGAUGUCAUGUCGUGCUGGGUUGGGGGUUUCAGACAAUGUGUGAGCAGAAAGGAGUAGCACAAGAAGUAGUGUCAAGAAUCAAGAAGGAUGUGCGCAUUUUGUUGCGAGGCAUCGAAGAAUGAGGUUCUGUGGAGUGGGUCGCAAGGAAAAGUCGAUAUACUACAACAGAUGACGUCACAUUUUUUAUGCAUCUUCAGGGCCAUACUUUUAUGCAUGGGUCAUCUUCGGAAUCUGAUGUGCCUUUCUAAAUUCAGUAGUGUCAAGAAUCAAGAAGGAUGUGCGCAUUUUGUUGCGAGGCAUCGAAGAAUGAGGUUCUGUGGAGUGGGUCGCAAGGAAAAGUCGAUAUACUACAACAGAUGACGUCACAUUUUUUAUGCAUCUUCAGGGCCAUACUUUUAUGCAUGGGUCAUCUUCGGAAUCUGAUGUGCCUUUCUAAAUUCAGUAGUGUCAAGAAUCAAGAAGGAUGUGCGCAUUUUGUUGCGAGGCAUCGAAGAAUGAGGUUCUGUGGAGUGGGUCGCAAGGAAAAGUCGAUAUACUACAACAGAUGACGUGCAUAUGCGUAUAACUCGGAGACGACCAAAUGGAGAACGGAAAAUUGAAAAAAAUAAAAACAAAUGGAGAACAGUUCUCCGAUAACUCAAUGUUUUGUGCACUCCUCCGUAGAGUAAAAUGGAUUACUUUUCAGUUCUUUGCUUUGUAUCAUGAGCUUUAAGGUUAACAUGGAUGUGCCCUUUUGAUA
Hordeum vulgare subsp. vulgare (domesticated barley) is the source of this 995-nucleotide long non-coding RNA. RefSeq lists it as uncharacterized. The transcript has 2 exons. The record is from RefSeq and is a predicted model, not a curated record. NCBI's taxonomy places the organism in Eukaryota, Viridiplantae, Streptophyta, Magnoliopsida, Poales, Poaceae.